AUUGAACGCUGGCGGCAGGCCUAACACAUGCAAGUCGAGCGGAUGAAGGGAGCUUGCUCCUGGCUUCAGCGGCGGACGGGUGAGUAAUGCCUAGGAAUCUGCCUGGUAGUGGGGGAUAACGUCCGGAAACGGGCGCUAAUACCGCAUACGUCCUGAGGGAGAAAGUGGGGGAUCUUCGGACCUCACGCUAUCAGAUGAGCCUAGGUCGGAUUAGCUAGUUGGUGGGGUAAAGGCCUACCAAGGCGACGAUCCGUAACUGGUCUGAGAGGAUGAUCAGUCACACUGGAACUGAGACACGGUCCAGACUCCUACGGGAGGCAGCAGUGGGGAAUAUUGGACAAUGGGCGAAAGCCUGAUCCAGCCAUGCCGCGUGUGUGAAGAAGGUCUUCGGAUUGUAAAGCACUUUAAGUUGGGAGGUAGGGCAGUAAGUUAAUACCUUGCUGUUUUGACGUUACCAACAGAAUAAGCACCGGCUAACUUCGUG
This 484-nucleotide ribosomal RNA is filed under the name uncultured bacterium. RNAcentral's name for it is "partial 16S ribosomal RNA". It matches the Rfam family "Bacterial small subunit ribosomal RNA", at positions 30 to 507 of the family's 1533-position model. The record is from RNAcentral.